GACGUAGGGGGCCAGCGUUGUUCGGAAUUACUGGGUGUAAAGGGUUUGUAGGCGGUGCGGCAAGUCGGGAGUGAAAUCUCUGGGCUUAACCCAGAGGCUGCUUCCGAAACUGCUGUGCUUGAGUGUGGGAGAGGCGCGUGGAAUUGCAGGUGUAGCGGUGAAAUGCGUAGAUAUCUGCAGGAACACCCGUGGCGAAAGCGGCGCGCUGGACCACUACUGACGCUGAGGAACGAAAGCGUGGGGAGCAAACAGG
Molecule: ribosomal RNA, 253 nt
Filed under: uncultured bacterium
Lineage: Bacteria
Description: partial 16S ribosomal RNA
Rfam family: Bacterial small subunit ribosomal RNA
Source: RNAcentral